CUUGAUGUUAUGAUACAAGACAUCGUGUGCAGAUGCCCGAUGUCUUAUUUUGACAAUCCUUUGUGUGCGAUAAACUGUACUAGUUCACCACCAGUAGGGGACCAGGUCGCUGAGGAAAUAUUAGUCAAAAAUAAUAAAGAAACUAAAACUAAAUUCACAGAAACAAAACAACACUAGAUAUUUUACGGGAAACCUCCUUACUCA
Molecule: long non-coding RNA, 204 nt
Filed under: Capsicum annuum
Lineage: Eukaryota; Viridiplantae; Streptophyta; Magnoliopsida; Solanales; Solanaceae
Description: long non-coding RNA (CANN_LNC021117)
Source: RNAcentral